UAGACCGUCCGAUCGCGAUUAAAUAGGGAGUGAACCUGCACCGUUCAUCGCGAUUCAAUUUGGGCUGUUUGUGCGCGAUUCAAUUUGGGCUGUUUGUGCACGAUUCAAUCUGGGCCAUCCGUGCAUGAUGAAAUCUGGGCCGUCCGUGCGUGUUUUUUAUCUGGGUCGUCUGUGUGCAGGGGAACGGAUCUCAGUCAUUCAAUCACGAGCACGCGGAUCGCCCACGUGGCUCUCCCCGCGUGGCCUCCCACAUCAAUAUCUCUACCACCUAGCGCGUCAUGGUUGGUCGGGGCUACUGACCGGGCAGCUGAUGUAGCGUAACUUUUCUAAAUUGCGUUUUAACCUCCGUU
This 350-nucleotide long non-coding RNA is filed under the name Carica papaya (papaya). RNAcentral describes it as "long non-coding RNA (CPAP_LNC005748)". Lineage: Eukaryota; Viridiplantae; Streptophyta; Magnoliopsida; Brassicales; Caricaceae. The record is from RNAcentral.